CAGUUACUCAGUCUCACGCAGCAAG
RNAcentral lists this non-coding RNA (25 nucleotides) under Mus musculus (house mouse). The record is from RNAcentral. Lineage: Eukaryota; Metazoa; Chordata; Mammalia; Rodentia; Muridae.